This 508-nucleotide ribosomal RNA is filed under the name uncultured bacterium. RNAcentral describes it as "bacterial SSU rRNA". It matches the Rfam family "Bacterial small subunit ribosomal RNA", at positions 32 to 526 of the family's 1533-position model. The record is from RNAcentral.
AACGCUGGCGGCGUGCCUAACACAUGCAAGUGGAGCGACGAACCAGGCUUCGGCCUGGGGCAAAGCCGCGAACGGGUGAGUAACACGUGGGUAACCUGCCCCGAUGAUCGGGACAACCCGAGGAAACUCGGGCUAAUACCGAAUGUGCCCUCCGGCCAUAAGGCCGCUGGGGAAAGGAAGCUUCGGCCUCCGCAUCGGGAUGGGCCCGCGGCCCAUUAGCUUGUUGGUGAGGUAAUGGCUCACCAAGGCGACGAUGGGUAGCUGGUCUGAGAGGACGAUCAGCCACACUGGGACUGAGACACGACCCAGACUCCUACGGGAGGCAGCAGUGGGGAAUCUUGCGCAAUGCGCGAAAGCGUGACGCAGCAACGCCGCGUGGGGGAAGAAGGCCUUCGGGUUGUAAACCCCUUUCAGUUGGGACGAAGCUCCGUCGGUGAAUAGCCGGCCGGAGUGACGGUACCUUCAGAAGAAGCCCCGGCUAACUACGUGCCAGCAGCCGCGGUAAUAC